This 497-nucleotide ribosomal RNA is filed under the name uncultured bacterium. RNAcentral's name for it is "partial 16S ribosomal RNA". It matches the Rfam family "Bacterial small subunit ribosomal RNA", at positions 28 to 507 of the family's 1533-position model. The record is from RNAcentral.
GAUGAACGCUGGCGGCGUGCCUAAUACAUGCAAGUCGAGCGAACAGACGAGGAGCUUGCCUCUCUGACGUUAGCGGCGGACGGGUGACUAACACGUGGAUAACCUACCUAUAAGACUGGGAUAACUUCGGGAAACCGGAGCUCAUACCGGCUACUAUAUUGAACCGCAUGGCUCCAUAGUGAGAGCCGGUUUUGCUGUCACUUAUAGAUGGAUCCGCGCCGCAUUAGCUAGUUGGUAAGGUAACGGCUUACCAAGGCAACGAUGCGUAGCCGACCUGAGAGGGUGAUCAGCCACACUGGAACUGAGACACGGUCCAGACUCCUACGGGAGGCAGCAGUAGGGAAUCUUCCGCAAUGGGCGAAAUCCUGACGGAGCAACGCCGCGUGAGUGAUGAAGGUCUUCGGAUCGUAAAACUCUGUUAUUAGGGAAGAACAAAUGUGUAAGAAACUAUGCACGUCUUGACGGUACCGAAACAGAAAGCCACGGCUAACUACGUG